RNAcentral lists this small RNA (541 nucleotides) under Pongo abelii (Sumatran orangutan). RNAcentral's name for it is "processed transcript". The record is from RNAcentral. Lineage: Eukaryota; Metazoa; Chordata; Mammalia; Primates; Hominidae.
GCUUCUGGGAGCUGCUGCUUCGCUGUGAGAAGUAUCCGUGACGAGCUAUCCGGUAAAGGUCCGAAUGAGAUCAAACCUAAUCCGCGAGACUUGCUAAAAAUUUAAAUCUUUUCAUGAAACAUUAUUGAACUAUGAUACAUUUACAGUGGAACAUAAUGACCUAGUGCUCUUCAGACUUCACUGGAAAAAUACUGAGGUGAACUUGAUGCUAAAUGAUGGAAAAGAGAAAUAUGAAAAAGAAAAAAUAAAAAUCAGCGUAAGUUCUGAGCAUGUCAAUGAAGAAAAAGCAGAAGAACACAUGGAUCUGAGGCUAAAGCAUUGCUUAGCCUAUGUUCUACAUACAUCAGGGACUACAGGGAUACCGAAGAUUGUCAGAGUGCCUCAUAAGUGUAUAGUACCAAAUAUCCAGCAUUUUCAGCAACACCAACAUUGCUUAGAAGAUUUGGAUCUCAGCUUAUCAAGUCAACUGUUUUGUCAGCCACUACUUCACUUCGAGUAUUAGCCCUUGGUGGUGAAGCGUUUCCAUCAUUGGCAGUUCUCA